AGCAGCCGCGGUAAUUCCAGCUCCAAUAGCGUAUAUUAAAGUUGUUGCAGUUAAAAAGCUCGUAGUUGAAUUUCGAGACCGGUUUACUGGUCGUGCUUUUGUACGUACUGGUAUUAUUGGUUUCUCCUUUCUGACGAAUCAUAAUGCCAUUAAUUUGGUGUUUUGGGGAAUCAGGACUGUUACUUUGAAAAAUUAGAGUGUUUAAAGCAGGCUCACGCUUGAAUACAUUAGCAUGGAAUAACGAAAUAGGACGUUUGAUUUUAUUUUGUUGGUUUCUAGGAUCGACGUAAUGAUUAAUAGGGAUAGUUGGGGGCAUUAGUAUUCAAUUGUCAGAGGUGAAAUUCUUGGAUUUAUUGAAGACUAACUACUGCGAAAGCAUUUGCCAAGGAUGUUUUCAUUAAUCAAGAACGAAAGUUAGGGAUCGAAGACGAUCAGAUACCGUCGUAGUCUUAACCAUAAACUAUGCCGACUAGGGAUCGGAUGAUGUUAAUUUUUUAAUGACUCAUUCGGCGCCUUACGG
RNAcentral lists this ribosomal RNA (520 nucleotides) under uncultured Glomus. RNAcentral describes it as "SSU rRNA". It matches the Rfam family "Eukaryotic small subunit ribosomal RNA", at positions 569 to 1093 of the family's 1831-position model. Lineage: Eukaryota; Fungi; Glomeromycota; Glomeromycetes; Glomerales; Glomeraceae. The record is from RNAcentral.